Molecule: long non-coding RNA, 570 nt
Organism: Alexandromys fortis (reed vole)
Lineage: Eukaryota; Metazoa; Chordata; Mammalia; Rodentia; Cricetidae
Exons: 3
Source: RefSeq, a predicted model, not a curated record
AAGCCAGCGGCAGAAGACGGUUUUGAGAGGAGGGCAAUUUGAAUCUGGAUUCCAUUUUAAAUGAUGUAAGAGCUCAGCUACUGCUCCAGCACCACGUCUACCUGCCUGCUGCCACGCCUCUGCCAUGACGAUCAUGGACUCGACUUCUGAAACCGAGAGAGAGAAACUGCCCUUCCUAACUGCGCCAGCCAAAUCAGUCGGACUGGCUCUCAUUGGUCUGUUCGGACUUCCUGUCUACUGUCGGAAACCAAUCACCCUGCCCAGAAGAGCAUAACAUUCUGAUUGGUCAAACCAGGGCUAAUCCCAACCGGAAUGAGAAACAAACAGAAGAUUCUUGUUCCAAAGCAUGGCGGUAAUAGUUCCUGCCUGCGCGUCUUCCUGAGCCUGUGCAGGGAGGUGACUCACUUUGACCCACUACUGCCACAUGGAUACCAAAACCAACUCUCCAGCUGGAUGGUAUUAAAUAGGUGACGUUUGAAGCUGGGCGUGGUCACGCACACCGGCAGGCUCAGCAUUUGAGAGAUGGGAGACCGGAAGUUCAGGGACCUGAGCUACAGGAGACCAGAUCUC